This 423-nucleotide ribosomal RNA is filed under the name uncultured prokaryote. Its description in RNAcentral is "bacterial SSU rRNA". It matches the Rfam family "Bacterial small subunit ribosomal RNA", at positions 355 to 774 of the family's 1533-position model. The record is from RNAcentral.
UGAGGAAUAUUGGUCAAUGGGCGCAAGCCUGAACCAGCCAUCCCGCGUGCAGGAAGACGGCCCUAUGGGUUGUAAACUGCUUUUCCAGGGAGAGAAACUUGCGUACGCGUUGCGCAAUUGACGGUACCCUGGGAAUAAGCAUCGGCUCACUCCGUGCCAGCAGCCGCGGUAAUACGGAGGAUGCGCGCGUUAUCCGGAUUCAUUGGGUUUAAAGGGUGCGUAGGCGGACUAUUAAGUCAGUGGUGAAAUCCUGCAGCUUAACUGCAGAACUGCAAUUGAUACUGAUAGCCUUGAGUUUGGUUAAGGUAGGCGGAAUGUGUAAUGUAGCGGUGAAAUGCUUAGAUAUUACACAGAACACCAAUUGCGAAGGCAGCUUACUGGGCCGACACUGACGCUGAGGCACGAAAGCGUGGGGAUCGAACA